This 72-nucleotide transfer RNA is filed under the name Patulibacter sp. RNAcentral describes it as "tRNA-Thr". It matches the Rfam family "tRNA". From Rfam's summary of the family: Transfer RNA (tRNA) molecules are approximately 80 nucleotides in length. Their secondary structure includes four short double-helical elements and three loops (D, anti-codon, and T loops). The record is from RNAcentral. Lineage: Bacteria; Bacillati; Actinomycetota; Thermoleophilia; Solirubrobacterales; Patulibacteraceae. RNAcentral also lists the same sequence under 1 other name.
GCCGAUGUAGCUCAGGGGUAGAGCACUUCACUCGUAAUGAAGGGGUCGUGGGUUCAAAUCCCACCGUCGGCU